Small nuclear RNA from Mesoplodon densirostris (Blainville's beaked whale), 108 nucleotides. NCBI's taxonomy places the organism in Eukaryota, Metazoa, Chordata, Mammalia, Artiodactyla, Ziphiidae. The record is from RefSeq and is a predicted model, not a curated record.
GUGCUCACUUCAGUUAGCACAUACACUAAAACUGAAAUGAUACAGAGAAGAUAUCCAUGGCCCCUGUGCCAGGAUGACACGCAAAUUCGUGAAGCGUUCCAGACCAUG